Molecule: ribosomal RNA, 1068 nt
Filed under: Vreelandella aquamarina
Lineage: Bacteria; Pseudomonadati; Pseudomonadota; Gammaproteobacteria; Oceanospirillales; Halomonadaceae
Also listed under: 1 other name
Description: bacterial SSU rRNA
Rfam family: Bacterial small subunit ribosomal RNA
Source: RNAcentral
UAGGAAAGACAUCACUCGCAGAAGAAGCACCGGCUAACUCCGUGCCAGCAGCCGCGGUAAUACGGAGGGUGCAAGCGUUAAUCGGAAUUACUGGGCGUAAAGCGCGCGUAGGUGGCUUGAUAAGCCGGUUGUGAAAGCCCCGGGCUCAACCUGGGAACGGCAUCCGGAACUGUCAAGCUAGAGUGCAGGAGAGGAAGGUAGAAUUCCCGGUGUAGCGGUGAAAUGCGUAGAGAUCGGGAGGAAUACCAGUGGCGAAGGCGGCCUUCUGGACUGACACUGACACUGAGGUGCGAAAGCGUGGGUAGCAAACAGGAUUAGAUACCCUGGUAGUCCACGCCGUAAACGAUGUCGACCAGCCGUUGGGUGCCUAGCGCACUUUGUGGCGAAGUUAACGCGAUAAGUCGACCGCCUGGGGAGUACGGCCGCAAGGUUAAAACUCAAAUGAAUUGACGGGGGCCCGCACAAGCGGUGGAGCAUGUGGUUUAAUUCGAUGCAACGCGAAGAACCUUACCUACUCUUGACAUCCUGCGAAUUUGGUAGAGAUACCUUAGUGCCUUCGGGAACGCAGAGACAGGUGCUGCAUGGCUGUCGUCAGCUCGUGUUGUGAAAUGUUGGGUUAAGUCCCGUAACGAGCGCAACCCUUGUCCUUAUUUGCCAGCGCGUAAUGGCGGGAACUCUAAGGAGACUGCCGGUGACAAACCGGAGGAAGGUGGGGACGACGUCAAGUCAUCAUGGCCCUUACGAGUAGGGCUACACACGUGCUACAAUGGUCGGUACAAAGGGUUGCCAACUCGCGAGAGUGAGCCAAUCCCGAAAAGCCGAUCUCAGUCCGGAUCGGAGUCUGCAACUCGACUCCGUGAAGUCGGAAUCGCUAGUAAUCGUGGAUCAGAAUGCCACGGUGAAUACGUUCCCGGGCCUUGUACACACCGCCCGUCACACCAUGGGAGUGGACUGCACCAGAAGUGGUUAGCCUAACGCAAGAGGGCGAUCACCACGGUGUGGUUCAUGACUGGGGUGAAGUCGUAACAAGGUAGCCGUAGGGGAACCUGCGGCUGGAUCACCUCCUUA